Molecule: ribosomal RNA, 253 nt
Filed under: uncultured bacterium
Lineage: Bacteria
Description: partial 16S ribosomal RNA
Rfam family: Bacterial small subunit ribosomal RNA
Source: RNAcentral
CACGGAGGGUGCAAUCGUUAUUCGGAAUCACUGGGCGUAAAGCGCGCGUAGCCGGUCUCUUAAGUCAGAUGUGAAAGCCCGGGGCUCAACCCCGGAAGUGCAUUUGAAACUAAGGGACUUGAGUAUGGGAGAGGGAAGUGGAAUUCCUGGUGUAGCGGUGAAAUGCGUAGAUAUCAGGAGGAACACCGGUGGCGAUGGCGACUUCCUGGACCAAUACUGACGCUGAGGCGCGAAGGCGUGGGGAGAAAACAGG